AUUGAACGCUGGCGGCAGGCCUAACACAUGCAAGUCGAGCGGUAGCACAGAGAGCUUGCUCUCGGGUGACGAGCGGCGGACGGGUGAGUAAUGUCUGGGAAACUGCCUGAUGGAGGGGGAUAACUACUGGAAACGGUAGCUAAUACCGCAUAACGUCGCAAGACCAAAGUGGGGGACCUUCGGGCCUCAUGCCAUCAGAUGUGCCCAGAUGGGAUUAGCUAGUAGGUGGGGUAAUGGCUCACCUAGGCGACGAUCCCUAGCUGGUCUGAGAGGAUGACCAGCCACACUGGAACUGAGACACGGCCCAGACUCCUACGGGAGGCAGCAGUGGGGAAUAUUGCACAAUGGGCGCAAGCCUGAUGCAGCCAUGCCGCGUGUAUGAAGAAGGCCUUAGGGUUGUAAAGUACUUUCAGCGGGGAGGAAGGUGAUAAGGUUAAUACCCUUAUCAAUUGACGUUACCCGCAGAAGAAGCACCGGCUAACUCCGUGCCAGCAGCCGCGGUAAUACGGAGGGUGCAAGCGUUAAUCGGAAUUACUGGGCGUAAAGUGCACGCAGGCGGUCUGUCAAGUCGGAUGUGAAAUCCCCGGGCUCAACCUGGGAACUGCAUUCGAAACUGGCAGGCUAGAGUCUUGUAGAGGGGGGUAGAAUUCCAGGUGUAGCGGUGAAAUGCGUAGAGAUCUGGAGGAAUACCGGUGGCGAAGGCGGCCCCCUGGACAAAGACUGACGCUCAGGUGCGAAAGCGUGGGGAGCAAACAGGAUUAGAUACCCUGGUAGUCCACGCCGUAAACGAUGUCGAUUUGGAGGUUGUGCCCUUGAGGCGUGGCUUCCGGAGCUAACGCGUUAAAUCGACCGCCUGGGGAGUACGGCCGCAAGGUUAAAACUCAAAUGAAUUGACGGGGGCCCGCACAAGCGGUGGAGCAUGUGGUUUAAUUCGAUGCAACGCGAAGAACCUUACCUGGUCUUGACAUCCACAGAACUUUCCAGAGAUGGAUUGGUGCCUUCGGGAACUGUGAGACAGGUGCUGCAUGGCUGUCGUCAGCUCGUGUUGUGAAAUGUUGGGUUAAGUCCCGCAACGAGCGCAACCCUUAUCCUUUGUUGCCAGCGGUUAGGCCGGGAACUCAAAGGAGACUGCCAGUGGUAAACUGGAGGAAGGUGGGGAUGACGUCAAGUCAUCAUGGCCCUUACGACCAGGGCUACACACGUGCUACAAUGGCAUAUACAAAGAGAAGCGACCUCGCGAGAGCAAGCGGACCUCAUAAAGUAUGUCGUAGUCCGGAUUGGAGUCUGCAACUCGACUCCAUGAAGUCGGAAUCGCUAGUAAUCGUAGAUCAGAAUGCUACGGUGAAUACGUUCCCGGGCCU
This 1361-nucleotide ribosomal RNA is filed under the name uncultured bacterium. RNAcentral describes it as "bacterial SSU rRNA". It matches the Rfam family "Bacterial small subunit ribosomal RNA", at positions 28 to 1381 of the family's 1533-position model. The record is from RNAcentral.